AUGGACUGUGACUUCAGCCAUGGACUGUGACUUCAGACAAAUCACCCAGAAAUGUCCCUGGAAGAGGCCUGGGGCAACCACAACAGACAAAUACAAAAUGGAGGGUUUAGACCAAGGUUUAGACGAUGUUUAGACUAAGGUUGAGACACCUCCACACAGACUUUCUCUCUACGCAAGAAACGAUCUGAGCACCUUUUUUUGAUUCUCAAAAACAUUGAAUUUAACAUGAAGCCACUUUGUUAACCCACAAGGGCCUAAUCUAAUUAAAAGGGUUUGAGUUUG
Long non-coding RNA from Osmerus eperlanus (European smelt), 282 nucleotides. RefSeq lists it as uncharacterized. The transcript has 2 exons. NCBI's taxonomy places the organism in Eukaryota, Metazoa, Chordata, Actinopteri, Osmeriformes, Osmeridae. The record is from RefSeq and is a predicted model, not a curated record.